Sitophilus oryzae (rice weevil) is the source of this 575-nucleotide long non-coding RNA. RefSeq lists it as uncharacterized. The record is from RefSeq and is a predicted model, not a curated record. The transcript is spliced from 3 exons. Lineage: Eukaryota; Metazoa; Arthropoda; Insecta; Coleoptera; Curculionidae.
AAGAUCUUGAGGACACUACCAUCAGGACUGAGACACACAAAUAGAUUUAACCAGGAUGUAGUAGUACCACGAUUAUUCCCUUUUUGAUUUCCAACUAAGGGUUUCUCUAUUGCUUCAGGUGCUUCAAUAGCAAGAAGGGCCAAGCUGCCAUCUACAUUGAAGCGACAGACGAGCGAUCUUUUGACAGACAAGCAAUCGAAAUAGAGUACGAUCUCCAGCAACUGCCAAAGAAUACCUAUGGAUACGAUCCAAGCGAAGAAUGUAGACCUUGCUCCAAAGAAGAACUGGCACAUAUUUUCUGUACCAGCGAUUUAGAGCAAUGGAGGGGUUCGAGAUUUGGUAGGCACAAGGUUGGUGAAAAUGCUAAAAUAGUAAUUCAAAUGUUUUGGUGUUUCGUGGCAAAAGAAGAACCAUAUGGCGUGAGAUUUUCGGUUACGUAGCAGAGAGAUAAAUCAGACGGGUGCAUGGCGGUUCGUCGUUUUGUUUGUCGGAUGGAGCUGUGUGUGCAUUGGCUUGACCGAUCCACGGCGCAAGAGCGCCGACGACGGCAUCUCAAGACUUCUAUUUUGUUGUUU